AGAGUUUGAUCAUGGCUCAGGACGAACGCUGGCGGCGUGCUUAACACAUGCAAGUCGAACGAUGAAGCCCUUCGGGGUGGAUUAGUGGCGAACGGGUGAGUAACACGUGGGCAAUCUGCCCUGCACUCUGGGACAAGCCCUGGAAACGGGGUCUAAUACCGGAUACUGAUCGCCUUGGGCAUCCUUGGUGAUCGAAAGCUCCGGCGGUGCAGGAUGAGCCCGCGGCCUAUCAGCUUGUUGGUGAGGUAAUGGCUCACCAAGGCGACGACGGGUAGCCGGCCUGAGAGGGCGACCGGCCACACUGGGACUGAGACACGGCCCAGACUCCUACGGGAGGCAGCAGUGGGGAAUAUUGCACAAUGGGCGAAAGCCUGAUGCAGCGACGCCGCGUGAGGGAUGACGGCCUUCGGGUUGUAAACCUCUUUCAGCAGGGAAGAAGCGAAAGUGACGGUACCUGCAGAAGAAGCGCCGGCUAACUACGUGCCAGCAGCCGCGGUAAUACGUAGGGCGCGAGCGUUGUCCGGAAUUAUUGGGCGUAAAGAGCUCGUAGGCGGCUUGUCGCGUCGGUUGUGAAAGCCCGGGGCUUAACCCCGGGUCUGCAGUCGAUACGGGCAGGCUAGAGUUCGGUAGGGGAGAUCGGAAUUCCUGGUGUAGCGGUGAAAUGCGCAGAUAUCAGGAGGAACACCGGUGGCGAAGGCGGAUCUCUGGGCCGAUACUGACGCUGAGGAGCGAAAGCGUGGGGAGCGAACAGGA
Molecule: ribosomal RNA, 753 nt
Filed under: uncultured bacterium
Lineage: Bacteria
Description: bacterial SSU rRNA
Rfam family: Bacterial small subunit ribosomal RNA
Source: RNAcentral